UAAGCAGCAUGGGGAAUCUGGAGCUUGUAGAUGGAAAACAGAAUCCUCUUUGGUCAACGAAUAUUUCGGUGCUAUCUAAUGGUUCAGCUGCAUCUCUUUUAGACACCGGAAACUUUGUCGUAAAAGAUGAUGAUGUCGGAGCUGAACCGUUGUGGCAGAGUUUUGAUUAUCCUAGUGACACACUUCUACCAAGUAUGCUGCUGGGGUUCAAUAGCAAAUCUGGAGAGACGAAUUUCCUGACUUCCUGGAAAAGUGAGAGUGAUCCAUCGACGGGGAUGUUCAUGGUUGGAUUGACACCAGAGGUGCCAUCACAGAUUGUAAUUUGGAUUAAUGGAUCAACUCCCUACUGGAGAACCGGGCCAUGGGAUAAAUCAAAGUUCAUCGGGCUACCAGGUACAAAUGAUGCAUAUACAAGUGGAUUCAGAUUAGAUGAUAAUGCAGAGGAAGGAACAAAGUAUUAUUCUUAUAGUUCUUAUAAUUACGGGGACGUUUUGGCGUACUCAGACAUCUCUUCAGACGGUACACUUAAGUUUAUGAAUUCGGAACGUGGAGAGUACUGGAUUCUUGACUUUUUAGCACAAAAUAACUCAUGUGAUAAGUAUGCAGCAUGCGGACCUUUCGGGGUUUGCAAACGUUCUGAAUCUCCAACAACUCCAAUAUGCAAGUGUUUUGAAAGGGUUUGUACCAAAGUCACACGAGGAAUGGAGCAAAGGAAACAGGACAGGAGGGUGUGUGAGGCAAACCAAAUUGUUUUGUGAGACUAAUACAAGUCAGUCAGUCGCUUCGAGAAGAAAUGAAGACGGGUUUUUGAAGAUGACGCAGUUAAAAAGUACCAGAUUUUCAUGAAUAUAUCAAGUUUUCAGAUGCACAGAAGUGCAGGACACAGUGCCUAAAAAAUUGUUCUUGCCUGGCUUAUGCACAUGUUGAUAACAUAGGAUGUUUGGUCUGGUCCAAAGGCCUUCUUGAUAUACAGGAAUUUGUCUAUGGUGGAGAAGAUCUUUUUAUUCGCCUGGACCGCUCAGAACUCGGUAAAUAAUAACAUUGCUUGUACAGCUCCAAUUAGCUAGCUAUAUGUUUUACACAACUUUUCUGUUACAAAUACAAUUUUUUCAGGUGAAGGAAAGCCAAUAAAGUUAAUUGCCAGCCUCGCAGCAAUUUGUUUGAUUAGCAUCUUGGGUGCCCUAGGGUUCGGUUUCCACAGGUUGCAAGCUAAUAAUAAAAAGGGUAAGAGAAUGAGAUGGAUGUGAUUGAUAUGAGCAAACUAGCAAAAAAAUGCUUGGUUUGAUCUGAAUUAUUUGUUAGUCCGCUGAUCUGACUCGGUUUUUGAUUCUUAUGAUUUCCAUAUCAGGAAACGCCAGAUUAACUGAUACAAUUGAGAACGGAAGAGACACUCUUCAAGAAUACAUUGGAAAGCAUGAUCCAUCAGAGCUGGUCAUCUAUAAUUUCGAUAGCAUUUUAAUCGCAACGAACAAUUUCAGUAUCACAAACAAACUCGGGGAAGGAGGAUUUGGCCCUGUUUACAAGGUGAUUGCGCAUUCUGUUUUUUCUCUAGCUAUAGUAUAUUAUCACAACAGCUACAAGCCUACAAGUAUACAACUGCAAGAUACAGAUAUGAAUCUAAUGAUUAAUUUUUCGCCGGGCUCGUGUAGGGUAAGCUGCAAGAAGGGAAGGAAAUAGNCCCUACGUACAGUGAAGAGUUAUAUAACUUAGCGUUCGAAUCAAUUCGCGUUGAAUUGUACUUGGGUUGCCAUGUCAACGGCGUCAAGUUCUUAGCGGGUGCACGAGAUGACAAGUUGUGUAAAUAAAACAACGGUGUUCAUGUCCCCGGAGGAGGAGAAAGUAUAGACAUUGAAUUCUAUGGCAAACUAACAAGUGUCGUGCAAUUGCUUUAUAAAGACCGGUGCCAAGUGAUCCUAUUUAAGUGUCGAUGGUUGGAUACACACCCAGAUAGGCAUGGAAGUGUGAAAAAAGAUCAUGGAUUACUAUUAGUGAACACUACCAAAACUUGGUACGAUGACGACCCUUCCAUAUUAGCAACCAUGGCAAAACAAAUUGUGUAUCUAGAUGACCCUAAAUCCGGGAGGGGUUGGAAAGUUGUUCAGAAGAUGGAUCAUAGGAACGUGUAUGCUAUACCAUAAAUUUUCAUCGCCCACGUGUCUGAAAAUUCAAUUAAAGUGGUUUUUUUUCGCAGAAAUUUUCUGACAAUUGGGCGACGAAUCAAUAUGUUUCGUCGCUCAAAGUAUAUUUGCGGGACGAAAUAUAUUGGUUCGUCACGCAAUUGUCUGAAAAUUCAAAUAAAGCGUUUUUUUUUUCCAGAAAUUUUAAAAAUCUUGCACGAUGAUUGUUUAGCCUUGCUAGAUGAAAACUCUAUCGCGUAAUAUCCUAUAUUAUUAACCCCGUGUGUUUCGUUCCCCCUUACUUCCCUCGUCUCCCUUUUUUCCCCGCGCGAUACCCUCUCUUUCCUUCCUCUCUAUCUUUGUCUGUUUCUUUUUCACUCACCUCGUCUCUCAGUCCAUCGCCUCUUUUUCUAUAACAGGUAAUUUCCUUUUCAGUUUUUAGUUUCAAUUUUGUUUAUUGAUUGGGGGUUAGAAUUAGGGUUUUUAUUUUUUUUCAAAUUGGGGGCGGUGGGGUUAGAUUUAGGGUUCGUAAAUUGGAGGUUACAUUUAGGUUCUUAAAUUAGAGUUUUUACGAUUCUUAAUUGGGGUUAGAUUUAGGUCUUAACUUAAGGGAACAAUUUUGGGCAGUGAGGUUAGAUUAGGUUUUCUGAAAUUGGGGGUUAGAUUUAGGGUGCUUCACUGGGGGCUAGAUUAAGGUUCUUAAAUUAGGGGUUUUUUAAUUUCAAGUACAGGGUUCGAGUUAGGGGUUUUCUAAUUUAAGUACAGGGUUCUUAAAGUAAGGAUUUGCAUUGUUGACUGCCACGAUUUGUUGAUAUAUAAUGGGGUAUUACCCUUUGUUGUUGCCUUAUUAAUAUGAUAGACUCCAUUGUGUUGCUUGUUGAAUUCGGCCUCCCAAUUUUGAAGUUACAUUUACGUUUUGAUUUUAAUCUUUCUUUUUUGCACAAUAAUUUGAAUUCCUCCAUUAUAGUUUAGAUUAUAUAUAUAUAUAUAUAUAUUAGAUUUUCAUGAUGAGAGGUAUUAGCAAACUUCUUUUGCUGCAAAUCGCAGAGCACAUGAACUUUGUUAUGAUGGGAAUGUUUCAAUUAUUUUCAUAUUUCUACGUCUCUAAAAUCAUUGAAUCUGCCCAUAUGCAUUCAGAAAAUGCUUUUGACUAGCCAAUGGACUGAAAUUCCUAUAUGAUUAUUUCAGUUAACAAGUUCAUUUGAAAUCAAAUCAACAAUUAGCAAUCCUUUUGUAGCCAUUGAAGUUGUAAGCAAGUGAAAACAGAAUCAAAAUCUGUGUACUAAACAAAUUGAUUGCCAAUUUUGUAGAUGUCUCACCUGAUUAGAACCCGGAGGCCGAUGACUUCUACACCUAGUCCGACGACUAUACCUACUACUGCCACCACUGCUCUGACAGAGAUGGACCAUAGGCCGGUCAAUCCGAUUCACUCAGAUGGUCCUCCAGUCCCACAGGCGUAGGCAUCGUCGACUUUUUUUGGUGGCGUUACCUAUUAACCCCAGACGAACUUAUCGACGCCCUCGUAUUGUGGACCAAAUGUCGCCAUCGGGAUCCACAACUGAUGCCUCCGGUACACAGCCAAGUAUACAAUCCUAAUUCACUCCUUCAUUCCCUUGUUUACUAAGGUUUAGGGUUUAGGGUACACAACCAGGUAUUCAAUUUGUUAAGUCAUGUAAGGAUUAAAAAGUUUUCAUCGUUCCGAACCUUUUAUUAAAUUGUUGUGAUCAUUGUGUUGGAUAUGUAUAUUGUUUAUAUUUAUUUCAGGGUUUUGGGAAAUGUUUUAAUUAUAGGGGAGGUUAUGGCGAAAUUUUAGUAGGAUUUGUUAUUAGUUAUGGGUUAAUGAUUUUUUUUUCAUCUCUUUGCAGCGAAGAAAAACACCCGGAGACCUUGUCGGCAAUUGAAGAGGGGGAAGGUCACCUGGGUGACCAACGGUUGUAUCCUAAUUGGAUACGAUGAGCGAUAUCGGGCAGCACCAACGGCGGAGCAACAUAGUGCAUUAGCCCACGACAUUGGGCAUGUCGUGCGGACCUUUAGCCCUAUGAUGUGGAAGUCUUGGAAGGCAAUGUCGGAGGAGACGAAGAUUACGAUGCGCAAUCAAUUAUCCGUACGUAGCAUCGCCUUUUUAAUGCUUUUCAUGUAAAAUUUAUAUAUUUAUAUGUAUUACUGUCUUUUAUUACUAAUGCUUUCAAAAUAUUUGUUAUAUUGCAGACAAACUACAAUUUGGAGCACAUGGACGAGGACAAGUUCACGUAUGUCAAUCGGCUCUUCUCCGAAUGCUACAAGCAGUGGAAGAGUGACCUGCACCAAUGCUUCCAGGAGUUUGAUGAUCCGCAUGUCACUCUUGAGGAGGGAUGUCCGAAGGAGUUGGAGGACCGACAAGAUAGUUGGGUUUGGCUUUACGGUCAUUUUUAGUGACGCAACAUAUGUGGUGCGUUUUUUAAUGACGACUUCUUUCAUUUUUACUUCUUUUUAUUUUUAUUUUUAUUAAUUUUUUUUUUUAAUUUUCUUUAACUAUUACAACUAAUACGUUUAUUUUUUGUAUAACAGAAGAAGGCGAAGGCGAACAAGAUCAAUCGAGAGAAGAAGACUCUUCUCCACCAUUCGGGUUUGAGGCCUUUCUCCUAUAGGAUGGAGGCGCGACGGAAGGUAUAUAUUACAACUUUCAUUUCCAAUUUAAAAAUGUCGCUAAUAAUUUUUUUUUUUCGUACUAACAUUUUCCUUAUCUUCUUUUUAUUUCAGGAGGGUUCAAAAUUUUCGGAGAUCGACGUCUUUGCUGACGUUUAUGUUCGGCCUGGGAAUGAGUUGACCCAGUCCCUUCAUGUAAGUAAUUUCUUAUGCAUUAAACAUUUAUACUAAUUCUUUCAAAUUGUUUUCUAUUAAUAAUCCAUGUUUUUUUUCACAGGCAACUAUGGUGGAGAAGCGACAGGUGGUGCUUCAGAAGUUCGCCUCCCACCUUCCUCUGGACACGCCGAUCAAGUCUGUGGAUCCCCCUGAGGAUGUAGGGUUUCACAUCGUCACUGAGAUGUUGGACCAGACUUUCGAUCGGAGGCCAGGGACAUAUUGUCGGGGGAUGGGAAAUGCUAGGCGUCGAGAGACUGGAGCCUCGUCAUUCGCGCAGUCAAAGACCAAGGUUACGGCUUUGACGUAGGAAGUCGCUGGGGGAGUGAGCUGGCAUCGUACAAGUCUCAAAUGUCAAUGCUUGUACAAGCCCUCAGUUCCUCUGGAAUACAUCUCCCCGAUUUUUCUACACCAUCGCCCUCACGGCCCUUCCACACCAAGCAAGCACAGCAAUCAGGCCCGUCAACCUCCGACCCCGUCCCCAACAACAACAAGAUAACCAAGCACCUCCGAAUGACACGCCUAUAGAUUUUGCCUCUUUAUUUUCAUAGUUUUGUUCCCUUUUUUUUUUAACUUUAACAUUUGUACGUACAUUUUAUGAAAUUUGUUUUUUUUUUCCUUUUAUUCUUAUUUUUUUAUUAAAAAUUACACGUGCGCGACGACGAAAUGUCGUCGCAACAAAAUUAAGCGCGUCUUACUCUUCCUAGCGCAUUACUACGUGACUACUAUAGAUUUCGUCGCGCAAACAAGUUUUGAGGCAAAUUUACCCACAAACGCACUUGUACUCGUUUAUAUCGUACGACGAAAAACCUUUGUCCGUAUAACUUUUGCGCGACGACUAGUAAAGCGUCGCGCAGUUGUCAAGACGCGCGACAAAUUUGAAGAUGUUCGUCGCGCAAUGUCUUUUUUUCACGAGCUUUGCGCGACAAAAUAUGCAUGGCGAUUUUCUGGUCGCCAUAAGUUUAUGUACGACCAAAAUAAUUAUUUUGCGCAACAAAAAUGUCCGUAGUCGGGCAAACUGUUAAAUUUAGUAGUGUUUUAAGACAAACAAUCCUUAGGGUUAGGCCGCCACUAGCCGACGACACAUUGUUUACAGGAAAGAAUGCCCACCGAACGGGAUCGUAACGUUUCAACGGUCUUCUGCGACAGAGAGGGACUCAAUCACUCACCAUAUCGGACUGCAGCGUGGCAUGUGACAAAAAAGUCAUAUAAAUAACACCAAUAUAUAGACAGCCCCACAUCAUCCACGGUGCACCUCAAGACUGUAGACUGAUCGAAGAGGCAGGAUAUUAUUAAAAAAUAAAUUUACAAAAUUACCCUUGCCUUAUUUUCAGCAUUCUUUUUUAUUGCUUUGAACUUUUUUUUGGCAGAGGGGUAUUUGUGUCCAAAUAAUUUUGUCGAAGAGGGUGACCCCAAAAUGGGUCUCCAGACUUGGAUUGUCUGUCCUUCCAUCUCAUACUCUUAUUAUGCUCUCUUAUAUUAUGUGAUCACAGUUAAAUUACGUUAAUAUUUUAUAUUAAUAUUUUUAUAAAAAUAAUAAAAAUAUAAAAUAGUAACGUGAUUUAAUCGUGAUCAUAGAGUAUAAGAGAACAUCAUAAGGGUACGCGAUGGGAGGGCACACAAUCCAAAGUCCCCGGUUUUAUAUAUAAAAGAAGAUAUGCGAAGAUAGAGGAACACGUUUUCAGUCAAAUGUCAAACAUCUACAACGAACGAUAUCUGAUGUUUCAAAGUUUUCGGCCCUUGAUUUGAGAGCAUUGGUAGACUUUUCCUUAGAACAAAAUUGAAAAGCCAUUUUCUUCCAACGAAAUUUACAGAUACUCUUCACCUUUCUUUUUCUAGAAAACGCAGUAGAACUGAAAUGGGGUUUGGAAAGGAAACCAUUGGUAGUAUUUUCGAUUCCACCAUGUUCGUCCUAAUUUUGUUCACCUUGCUGCUGUCACAGCAUCAGUGUGCUGAAGUUUAUGAGAUAACUCCGUCACAACCAUUUUCACAGACACAAACCCUUGUCUCCCCCAGCCGCAUUUUCGAAUUGGGGUUCUUCAGUCCUAAUGGUUCGGUUAACAAGUACGUGGGGAUAUGGCACACGAACAUAUCUCCGCGGAAAGUUGUAUGGGUUGCCAACAGAGAAAACCCUCUUGCAGCUUCAGAUACCUUGGCUAAUUUGACAAUUAGCAGCAAUGGGAAUCUGGAGCUUGUAGAUGGGAAGCAGAAUUCUCUUUGGUCAACGAAUAUUUCGGUGCCAUCUAAUGGUUCAGCUGCAGAGCUUUUGGACAGCGGAAAUCUUGUCGUAAAAGAUGAUGAUGUCGGUGCUGAUCCAUUGUGGCAGAGUUUUGAUUAUCCUAGUGACACACUUCUACCAAAUAUGGUGCUGGAAUUCGAUAGUAAAUCCGGAAAGCGCAGUUUAAUGAAAGCCUGGAAAAGUGAGAUUGAUCCAUCAGCUGGCUUGUUCUGGGCUGGACUUUCACGGGACGUUCCAUCACAAGUGUUCAUUUGGAUUAAUGAAUCGAAACCCUACUGGAGAAGUGGGGCAUGGGAUAAAUCAAGGUUCAUCGGGGUACCGGAUAUGAAUAAUCAAUAUCUAAGUGGAUUCACUCUAAAUGAUGAUGUGAACCCGGGAACAAAAUCUUUUUCCUACAGGUUUUUUGACAAUUCGCUUUCAUAUCUUGGCAUCUCUUCGGAUGGAGUACUGAAUCUUAAGCUUUCGGACAAUGGCAGCAACUGGUGGCUUAACUGGGAGGCACCGGUGAAUCCAUGCGACAUUUAUGGAACAUGUGGUGUUUAUGGUGUCUGCAAAGGUUCUGAAUCUCCAAAUCCAAAUUGCGAGUGUUUGAAAGGGUUUGUACCAAAAUCAAAUGAGGAAUGGAGCAACGGAAACAGGACUGGAGGGUGUGUGAGGACCACCGAAUUGUUUUGUGAUCAGAGUAACACAAGCAGGUCAUUUGCUUCAGGAGGAAAAGAAGAUGGCUUUCGGAAGAUGGUGGGAUUAAAGCUACCAGAUUUUCAUGAGCUUAUCGAAAAUCUGGAGGCUGACGAGUGCAAGAUACGAUGCCUAAAUAAUUGUUCUUGUCAGGCUUAUGCGCAAGUUAAUAAUAUAGGGUGUUUGGUCUGGUCCAGUGACCUUAUUGAUAUACAAGAGUUUACAUUUGGAGGGAACGAUCUUUAUAUUCGCCUAGCACACGGAGAAUUAGGUAAACAAAUGAGAAUUAUUUCCUGCAGUAUUAUUAGAAGUAUCUUUUAUUUUCGGUCUCAUUCUUUGCUCAUUGCAAUUCAUAAAUUCAUUUUUUCAGAUGAAGGAAAGCCUGUAAAGCUAAUUGCUAGCGUCACUGCUGUUGGUUUUAUCAGUAUCUUGAGUGCCAUAGCUUUCGGUGUUCAGAGACUGCGCGGUAAAAAAACAGGUAAGAGAAUAACAUAGAGUGAUAGCAGCUGAUGCAUUAUUCAAAUUAGUAUACAACUUCCAUGCAUAACUUCAUAAGAACAUAUUUACUGAUUGAUAUCCAUUACUUGAUAACCUUGUUGUGAUGAAGUUGUUGUGAUUGUUAUAUUUUCGAAACAGGGAACACGAAAGAAAAAACAAAGUUAAUGCAGUUGAAUCAUACAAGUGAUAAUUCAAGGGACAAUCUUCAAGAAUACAUAAGAAAACAUGAUCCAUCGGAGCUAUUCAUCUACGAUUUUGACAGCAUAUUAAAUGCCACAAACAAUUUCAGCACCAUGAACAAACUCGGGGAAGGAGGUUUCGGCCCUGUUUACAAGGUAACUAUUUAUUUAUUUAUUUCAAUUCCAAAAGGAAAAUAUGGUGUUUUCAACACCGGCUAGAAGCCUAAAACUACAAGACACAGAUAUAAAUCGAAUGUUUAAUUUCUAGGGUAAGCUACAAGAAGGAAAGGAAAUAGCAGUAAAACGACUAUCUAGUAGCUCGGGGCAAGGCAUAGAGGAGUUCAAGAAUGAGAUGCUGUUGAUCUCCAAACUCCAACACAAGAAUCUUGUUAGGAUCAUGGGCUGCUGCGUCAAGGACGAUGAAAAGUUACUGAUUUAUGAGUUCAUGCCUAACAGAAGCUUGGAUACUCUUCUAUUCGGUUAGUUUCACUGCCACUUUUUAUGUUUGGAUGAAAUUUCUCUUUGUUACAUGUUGUUCUUUUGUUACCAUAAUUGGCAAUUCUUUAGCUCUUUGUAAUCCCCCACUACUUAUGAUUUUGUUACUAAUAUUGGUUGCACUUUUUAUGGAUAUUUUUAUUAGAUCCAAAGCGCAAAGCAGAGCUUGAUUGGGCUAGACGCUUCAAUAUUAUUCAGGGAGUUGCUAGAGGGCUUCUUUAUCUCCACCACGAUUCCCGUUUGAAGGUAAUCCAUAGAGAUUUGAAGGUUAGUAACAUUCUCUUGGAUGAGAAUAUGAACCCAAAAAUUUCAGAUUUUGGAUUGGCACGAAUCGUUGAAGCAACACAGAGUCUAGCAAAUACUCACAAGGUUGUGGGAACACUGUAAGCACAUUAUUUUCAUAUUAUUGGCACUUUUAUUAAGACCAGAAACAGAGAAGUCAUUUUUUUUCAGUUAUUAAUACAAGUGAAUUGCUUGUGCAGUGGCUAUAUGUCUCCCGAAUACGCCAUGGGUGGGAUAUUUUCUGAAAAAUCUGAUGUCUAUAGCUUUGGUGUCUUGCUAUUGGAGAUUAUCGCCGGCAAAAAGAAUACUAGCUUCUAUUACAACGAAGAACAGCACGGAUUUUUAGCUUAUGUAAGCUAAUCACUCAAAAUCUUCACGUGGAUUUGUGUUUUUUAAGAUGCUAAAUAUAGCAGAUUCUAACAAUUGUAGGCAACAUUCAUAAUAUGAAUUUUGUCAGGUUUGGCACUUAUGGAAUGAAGGCAGGGGACUGGACUUGCUGGAUGAAGUAUUGGCGGAUUCAUAUUCGUCAUCAGAAGUAACAAGAUGCAUGCAUAUCGGACUUCUCUGCGUACAGGACAAGUCUGAAGAUAGGCCAAUCAUGCCGGACGUAGUUUUCACACUAAGUAGUGAGACGAAUCUUCCACUACCUAAGCAGCCUAUAUUUUCUAAUUUCCGAAACGCAGUCUAUAAUCCUCAACCUCAAUAUGACAAUAUUUUCUCUGCAAAUGAAGAAACUAUAACCAUUAUCGAAGGUCGGUAAGCAAUGGAUUUUGGUGAUUGAAAGUGUAAAGACAAGUAAGGUUACUGCACGUGUAAAAUUUCUGCAUCUUGUACACCGCAAAUCUGCUAUUUAAUUAGUACAGUGGUAGACUGAGUUGAAAGAUGAUCGAAACAUUUUAAGGAAUUCUUCUUCUGAACCUUAUAUAUUUUCCACUAUAAAUACGAACGGAUCAUGCGUGUGGAAAUCACACUUGCAUGGCAAUGGCAAGCAUGAUAUGAAUCGACAAAAAAAGAGAUGACACUGCCCGCAAUGCGGAUUUCCUUCGACUUGUUUCUGUAACGAUUUUGAUCAAGGCCGAUGCUUGUCUCGGCUAGUAAAAUAAAAUUGUCAAGAUGUAAAAUUUGAAACUACCAAAAAAAAAAAUUACGAACAAAAGCACUUUAAUUCUUAGAAAACAACAUUUAAACAGCAGUACAAACACACUGUAGCACCGGUAAUGAUCUACUUAAUGUAUCUUGUCCCGGUGACGAUCAUAUUUAACCUAUAUAUGUAUGUGUGUGUGUGUGUGUGUGUGUCUGUGUGAUAUUUCGGUCCUGCAGGAGAUCCAAUUGCUCUCAGUUCGCCACGUGAGCGAGAAACUAGAGGUAGCAUUCUCAUAAUGAACGUUAGGUGUGUCCAGAAGGAGCCAAAAUCUAUAUCAAAGUCUUCUGCAUGACUUUGACUGCAUUAAUUGAAUUUUAGCCCAAAACAGUAUUUCAAUGUUUGAUCGUAUUGCUUUUCAGGGAAUUUUUAAUCAUUCAGAUGCAAAUUAGAACCGAAAGUAGUGUUAGUACGAUGAAUUCCUCCAUGUUCUUCCUAUUCUUCUUCAGCUUGCUUCUUCUGUCACGGCACCAUUGUGCCGAAGUUUACGAGAUAAGUCCUGCGCAACCAUUAUCAGAGGGACAAACUCUUGUCUCCCCCCGCCAUGUUUUCGAAUUGGGAUUCUUCAGUCCUAAUAAUAAUUCCGGUAAUAAGAAGUAUGUGGGGAUAUGGCACAAGAGUAUUUUUCCUCGAAAAGUUGUAUGGGUGGCCAACAGAGAAAAGCCGAUUGCAGCUUCAGACACCUUGGCUAGUUUGAGAAUAAGCAGCAUGGGGAAUCUGGAGCUUGUAGAUGGAAAACAGAAUCCUCUUUGGUCAACGAAUAUUUCGGUGCUAUCUAAUGGUUCAGCUGCAUCUCUUUUAGACACCGGAAACUUUGUCGUAAAAGAUGAUGAUGUCGGAGCUGAACCGUUGUGGCAGAGUUUUGAUUAUCCUAGUGACACACUUCUACCAAGUAUGCUGCUGGGGUUCAAUAGCAAAUCUGGAGAGACGAAUUUCCUGACUUCCUGGAAAAGUGAGAGUGAUCCAUCGACGGGG
This 11442-nucleotide long non-coding RNA is filed under the name Malus domestica (apple). Its description in RNAcentral is "long non-coding RNA (MDOM_LNC005381)". The record is from RNAcentral. Lineage: Eukaryota; Viridiplantae; Streptophyta; Magnoliopsida; Rosales; Rosaceae.